UACGUAGGUCCCGAGCGUUGUCCGGAUUUACUGGGUGUAAAGGGCGUGCAGCCGGGCUGACAAGUCAGAUGUGAAAUCCCGCGGCUCAACCGCGGAACUGCAUUUGAAACUGUCAGUCUUGAGUACCGGAGAGGUCAUCGGAAUUCCUCGUGUAGCGGUGAAAUGCGUAGAUAUAAGGAAGAACACCAGUGGCGAAGGCGGAUGACUGGACGGCAACUGACGGUGAGGCGCGAAAGCGUGGGGAGCAAACAGG
This 253-nucleotide ribosomal RNA is filed under the name uncultured bacterium. RNAcentral describes it as "partial 16S ribosomal RNA". It matches the Rfam family "Bacterial small subunit ribosomal RNA", at positions 524 to 776 of the family's 1533-position model. The record is from RNAcentral.